AGAGUUUGAUCCUGGCUCAGAAUUAACGCUAGCGAUACACCUAACACAUGCAAGUUGAACGCAUACAUUUUGUAUGAGUAGCGAACGGGUGCGUAACACGUGAGAAUCUACCCAUGGUUUGUGGCGAGAUGUUGCAGAAUCCCAAUGGGGUUUAGAUAUAUAUCGACCAUGGAUGAGCUUGCGGGGUAUUAGGUAGUUGGUGUGGUAAUGGCGCACCAAGCCCAAGAUGCCUAGCCGGUUUGAGAGAAUGAUCGGCCACACUGGGACUGAGACACGGCCCAGACGCUUACGAGCGGCAGCAGUGGGGAAUAUUGGACAAUGGGCGCAAGCCUGAUCCAGUGAUAUCGCUUUGAGGAUGACGGCGACAUACGUUGUAAACUCAGUGGAAUAUGUGUAGAUUAUGACCGUGCAUAUUUUAGAAGUCCCGGCUAAUCUCGUGCCAGCAGCCGCGGUAAUACGAGAGGGGCGAGCGUUAUUCAAAAUGAUUGGGCGUAAAGCGCACGUAGGUGGUGAUAUGUAGACGUCGCGAUUCAGAUUAUGAAUCUUGUCGAUCGCGGUGAUCCUAUAUAUCGCUUGAGGGCGUGAGAGGAGCAUGGAAUUCCCUAGGAAGCGGUAGAAUGUGCUGAUCUAGGGAGGAACACCAAUAGCGAAAGCAGUGCUCUAGCACGUACCUGACGCUCAUGGACGAAAGCCAGGGGAGCGAAAGGGAUUAGAUACCCCUGUAGUCCUGGCCGUAAACGAUGAACACUAGGUGUCGGGGGAAUCGACCCCCUCGGUGUCGUAGCCAACGCGUUAAGUGUUCCGCCUGGGGAGUACGCACGCAAGUGUGAAACUCAAAGGAAUUGACGGGGGCCCGCACAAGCGGUGGAGUAUGUGGUUUAAUUCGAUGCAACGCGAAGAACCUUACCAGGGUUUGACAUCCUGCGAAUCUCUUGGAAACGAGAGAGUGCCUUCGGGAGCGCAGUGACAGGUGGUGCAUGGCUGUCGUCAGCUCGUGUCGUGAGAUGUUGGGUUAAGUCCCGCAACGAGCGCAACCCACGUCUUUAGUUGCCAGCAUUGAGUUGGGCACUCUAGAGAGACCGCCGGUGAUAAACCGGAGGAAGGUGUGGAUGACGUCAAGUCAUCAUGCCCCUUACAUCCUGGGCUACACACGUACUACAAUGCUACGGACAAAGAGCAGCAAGUUCGCGAGGACAAGCAAAUCUCAUAAACCGUGGCUCAGUUCAGAUCGUAGGCUGCAACUCGCCUACGUGAAGGAGGAAUCGCUAGUAAUCGCAGGUCAGCAUACUGCGGUGAAUACGUUCCCGGGCCUUGUACACACCGCCCGUC
Molecule: ribosomal RNA, 1329 nt
Filed under: uncultured bacterium
Lineage: Bacteria
Description: partial 16S ribosomal RNA
Rfam family: Bacterial small subunit ribosomal RNA
Source: RNAcentral